GCAUGGUCGAAGCGCUCUGAGGUCACGUAGGCAACCACAGACCUGCCCUCAUCCUCUGUCCCCUGUUAUUGGUGACAGGAGGAAUGUGUAGUGUCAAAAUGUCUUUCUUGGAGCAGGAAAAAGUGGGUUCCUGCUUUGAGGUCCUGCCCCGACUUCCCCCAGUGGUGUAGCAUUAUUGGGACAGAUUUAGGUAGGAUGCAUUCUCUGCUGAGAGGAAGGGUGUAACUGUGAUGAAGAUUUUUGGUGCUCACUGACUCCCGGACACUGAUGCCCACAGUCCUGCACCUUUGUCUGUGGUCUGCCCAGUAGCCAGGUCAAAGCAGGUCAAUGUCCUUUUACUCCACUAUCAAGGCUUUCCAGCCCAUCUGUGUUCCCUUGGUGCUAUACAAACAAUGGCUGGACCACCCUGGGUUGAUGAAGGCUCUUGGAGACCACAUAGAGCCAUCUGCUAAAGUUCUUGACAAUAUGGCCACUUCCACUAUGGCACUAGGGUGUGCAUGGGCUUCUCUAAGAGACUUGCUUUUGCCCAGAUUUAUACCCUGUCAGCUCACUUUUUUACUAAAGAAGCCAAAAUCUUGUGUUAUUAGUGACUAUUGUCAUUGCUGCAUAAAAAGCCCUUCAGG
This is a long non-coding RNA of Mesocricetus auratus (golden hamster), 623 nucleotides long. RefSeq lists it as uncharacterized. Lineage: Eukaryota; Metazoa; Chordata; Mammalia; Rodentia; Cricetidae. The record is from RefSeq and is a predicted model, not a curated record. The transcript has 3 exons.